RNAcentral lists this ribosomal RNA (576 nucleotides) under uncultured bacterium. RNAcentral's name for it is "bacterial SSU rRNA". It matches the Rfam family "Bacterial small subunit ribosomal RNA", at positions 338 to 916 of the family's 1533-position model. The record is from RNAcentral.
CCUACGGGAGGCAGCAGUAAGGAAUAUUGGACAAUGCUCGCAAGAGUGAUCCAGCCAUGCCGCGUGCAGGAAGACGGCCCUAUGGGUUGUAAACUGCUUUUGAACUAGAGAAAACCCUCCUACGUGUAGGAGGCUGAUAGUAUAGUUAGAAUAAGCAUCGGCUAACUUCGUGCCAGCAGCCGCGGUAAGACGAAGGAUGCAAGCGUUAUCCGGAUUCAUUGGGUUUAAAGGGAGCGUAGGUGGACUGAUAAGUCAGUGGUGAAAUCUCUCGGCUUAACCGAGAAAUUGCCAUUGAUACUGUUGGUCUUGAGUACAGUUGCUGUGGGCGGAAUAUGACAUGUAGUGGUGAAAUACAUAGAGAUGUCAUAGAACACCGAUUGCGAAGGCAGCUCACAAAGCUGUAACUGACACUGAGGCUCGAAAGUGCGGGGAUCAAACAGGAUUAGAUACCCUGGUAGUCCGCACCGUAAACGAUGAUUACUCGCUGCUGGGAGGUAACUUUCAGUGGCUUAGCGAAAGCGAUAAGUAAUCCACCUGGGAGUACGCCGGCAACGGUGAACUCAAAGGAAUUGACGG